AUGGCUUCGUCUCGUAAACUGGGUCGGCGGAGAAAUGUCACUACCUGGCCAAGAAUGUCUUCAACUUUCUGGGCUGCGGUGCUACUGACCAGUCUGCUCAUAAUAUACUGCGCCACUGAUCAGACAGGAUUACGGAGGUCAGUGUCAUCUGGUGGAGGCCUAUCCAGUCCUGUCUGCAAUCAGUGGUCAUGGAGGGAGUUACGACUACUGGGACUCAUCAACUGUCCCCUACCUGUACCUACAGAGAGCUAUACAUCCAUCAGCUUUGCAAUCAUUAUCCAUUUUAACAUGGUAAGAUUAAAUUCACUUCAUGAACUGGAACCUCCCUCAUUGAAAUGUAUGGUCUCUUCCCAAUACAUUUAAUGCGUUGAACUAUUGACCCCGAAGUCUAUUUCCUGAAGCCAUCCCUCUCCCACAACCCUCUCUGCCUCCUUGUCUCCCUCAGAGCACCCCAGGCCCAUCUUUAUCAGUGCAAGGCCAGAUGCAUCCUGGGUGGUUUAAGCCAUCCAUUAUCAACACAAGGCCAGGUGCUUUGUGGGAUGGCAGAUCAGAGGUCUCCCAGGAAGCUGAUUGGGUCUUGUUCCAGUGGGGAAGGAGAAGCCUGGCCGAUAGCAAAGAGGCACAAGGGACAGAAGGCCAGCACUGUAACUUAUGGCAAUGUGAUGACCUGCAUGAGAGGCACAUACUAUUAGCUAGCUAUGUGGCUAUUUCCCGACUACACCAUUCUGCAGGAAAGAAAAACUGUUUGGUAAUAAUAGUAGUUAGACAAAAAGUGUGUCAAGGGAAUGUUGUUUAUGUUCGUUAUGUUUCAGUGACUAUAUGUUGACCCAGCAACUUCCAUACACAUGUUGUUGGAAACAGGUUGGUGUGGGCAGAAAUAUGUAUUAUGAACAUACAACAAUCCCUACACUAUACAGGCCACAGUAGUGGUGUAAGGCUUGGAGAGUGUACACAGUAUUCAAUAGUCAAUUGCUUUUGAAUUUUCUGGACAAUAAUUGAACCAACAGACGUAGACUGUUCCUGAAAAUGCCCCCACAGAAGUUUUCUGCAAGGUAUCAUCACGUUUCAAUUUCUGCUUGUGAAAACAAAUGCAUUGACAUUUUGAUCCUGAUCUUUGAUAAUGCUCUUAUGACCUAAAAAAAGUAAAUGCAGAUUUGUUAAUGGUAAAGCGAAUAUGUAGGAUUAACUACAAGAUCUUUAAUUUUGGUAAAUCUAUUUUAUUUAGGGAAAUCCCAUUGAGGCCAUAGCCUCUUUUACAAGGGAUCCCUGUACACAAUCAUACAAAUUCACAAUAUUUACAAUUACAAUGCAAUAAAAACACAAUAUUUACAAACAAUUUAAGAAAAGUAACUUAGAAAACACAAUCAUUCCUCAAUUAAAAAAAGUAAUUGACAAGCUGUCUGAACUGCCCUACCCGCACCAAUUCAUGCAACUUUAGAGAGUUCUGGAGAUCAUUCCACAAGCAAGGUGCAAAAAAACUAAACACAGAUCUACCUAACUCAGUGAAGACCAAAUGGAUCUCCAGAGUUAGCCAUCGCUGUGAUCUGGUCUAGUGACUCGUAUGCCUGUAAUUUAACAAUGAAGCAAGGUGUGGCGGAAGUUUGCACAAGAGGGCUUUAUAAACCAAAAGAGAGCAGUGCAUUACGAGACUUAAUAGAAGGCUAUGCUACGUUCUGAUACAGUGAUGUGUACUGAACCUAUCGCCCGUAAUAAAGCAUUGUGCGCAAUGAUAAACUGCGUCCAUUGGCUUCAAUACAGUGGCAGCUGCAUUCAUAUAGACUAUAUUACUAUAGUCUAAAGCCGGAAUGACCGUCGACUGAAUGAUUUGUUUUCUGCUAUUUAACAAAAGGCAUGUCUUAUUCCUAUAAAGAAAAGCCAUUUUUUUUUCUUACCUAACUCAUCAAUAUGCUUUUUGAAAUAUACCCUGAUAUUUAUAACAAUGUGGGCACCAUUUUCUUUUAAAAAUAACCUGUACUUAGUUUUGCAUUAAGUACCCGUUUCAGUUCAACAAAGGCUUUCUGUAAAGCAAAAAAGGCAGAUUGUAGUUAUGAAAGAGCCUUGUCAGUAGCCUAUAAUCUAAAGAUAAUUUGCUCUGGAGAAUGACCUUUUAUAAUGUUUUUCAAGUAUAUGUACCAUGCUGCCAUGGAUACAGAGGCAGAGAAUCAUGUGUGGUUAGGCUUUUCUACAGGGCUACAAAAUGUAUACUAUUUUCCAAUAGAUGAGUAUACCGUAUUUGCUGUGAUACUCUCUUAAAAUAACUAUAUUAUGGCACACAGUCAUUAGAAGUGCCAAUAGUGUAGGUCUAUCUUAGGGGACAAGAUAGUAGAGGUACAAAAACAUUGGAAAAGGGGAGGAUGGAGAACAACACCUGGAUUGUUCUCCAUUCUCCCCAGAUUCAGAAUAUAUACUUUUCAUAAUCAAGACACGCUUUGUUUAAGAGCUAUUGGAGAUUGAAAUACAAAAUCUUAAAAUAUUUGUAUGAAUUAAAAAUAGGUGUUGAUUGUUUCUCCAUCCUCCCCAGUCAUGGCAUGUGUGGUUCAAUAGCUAUUAGCGAGAGAGAACCAAAUAUCCAGUGUAAUGUUUAAAACAUGGUCCAGCUAUAGCAAGUGGAAAAUAUUCCCAAUACCUUGCUGAGUGAAAAUCCACCACAAAUGUUUCCGUCAUUAACUCAAACAAGCAUCAUCAAAGCAACUUUGCAAAUUCUGAACAAUAUUAAUAACGUUCCACCCAUGAGGCCACUAGAGGGCGAUUUGGUCAUUUGACUGCAGGAAAGUGGUACAGCAACCCUCAUAGUGUCUUGGUAUGUUUCAUAAAGGUGUUUUGAAUGCAUGUAGGCUAUAUUCAAAUGAUACCGAUUUAUUUUUCCCUCAUAGCUUAUUCCUGUACUCCACAUGUUUUAUGUUACGCAUUCUAAGGCAUGUGCAUAAUGCAUGCAUGCACUCAAUCUGGAAAGGGACAAUAAUUAAAUGGAACUAGCUAGGCUGCAACACUACAUUCACAUUCCAAAAUUAUCAUCGAUGCAUGGGAGGUAUCAAAGUCUUUGUGCGAAAUGUGAGAGGUAGUCAUGGGUCUAACGGAAUCAUGUCCCCCGAUAUGCCCUCAACCGAAAACAGCCUGUGGAAUUGCCCGGAGAUAAAACACUAAUGGCUGUGACGUCACGUAGAGAGCUCAGUGAAAGUCACUCGUGAAGCCGCGGGUAAGAACGGGGGCAAGCCCGAGACGUAUUGGUAUAUUGAACAGUAUAGUGACGCCGCAGUGUCUCCACGAGCUGCCCAUCAUUAAUUUCACAAGUUAUCUGGGUAUUUGCAUUACAUGGUACUGGACCUGAUGCUCAGCGUAGUCUGUGAGCAGUGAGCUCCUAUUUGAUGUGGUUUCAAAUUGACUUCUUAUCCAUCAGUUUUGGGAAUAUUGUGAAACACAAUGGAAAGAGUCGAAAUGGGUACAAGACGAAGAGAGAUCUAACUUGGAGACAGCGAAGAUGGACGUUUCCCAAACCGGCAGCCACUGUCUAGUUAGUGAUAUAUCUCAUGCGGAAAAUAUCGAGACAAAUUUCAUUUUACGCAAUUGCUGCAAAGUGUUCUGGUGGCGCAGCCGUCUCAUAUCAUACUAGCUAUCCCGGAGAGUGGGAAUCACAGAGUCACUGCGCUCCAAGCUCAGAGAAUAAUUUGCGGUGAAAAGCAGAUUAAAUUAAAGUGAGAAAAUGCCUCACUUCAAAUGAUGUGAUGGUCUAACGACUUUAACUUUUCUCUCCAUUAUAGGCUAUCUGAAGAACGAAAGGGUUGCAUUAAUUUGGAAUUGAAGGGAUCAUAAAAAUUAUCUGUCAUGGAUUGUGCCUAUUUUGUAUUUUACUUUGAAUUUAAGCCAACGGAGUAGCUUUAGGGAAUCAACUCACUUUUCUUUUAAACACUGCUGCAUUGGAUCAGAAUGGAUUUGUCAUUGUAGCCAGCUGCUGCUGCUGAAGACCGCGCGCUCCGUCCGGUAUUUC
Oncorhynchus mykiss (rainbow trout) is the source of this 3985-nucleotide long non-coding RNA. NCBI's taxonomy places the organism in Eukaryota, Metazoa, Chordata, Actinopteri, Salmoniformes, Salmonidae. The record is from Ensembl.